CUCAUUCAUAAUGAUUAAGCUGUUGCUUUGCAGUUUGAAGAAAAGCAAAAUUAAAAUUAAAUCAACAAAAUAAUUGUUUUGGUGGCCAGAUUUAUACCUUCCAGAGUACCAACACUGCCAUGAGU
This 125-nucleotide long non-coding RNA is filed under the name Dromaius novaehollandiae (emu). Its description in RNAcentral is "lncRNA (ENSDNVG00000016550.1)". Lineage: Eukaryota; Metazoa; Chordata; Aves; Casuariiformes; Dromaiidae. The record is from RNAcentral.